UUUUUUUUUUAUGUUCCACGCAGUUCAUCCAAUUGCCUUGCUUAGGCUUAUAAAAUUGGUCCAGUUGGACUAUAUAUAUAUCUAAAUAAUGUAAUGUAUUAAUAAACAUCGUGGGUGUUAACCACUAUGCUUACCUAUGAAACUCACUUUUGACCUCUGAGAUUUUUUUUUUAAAGUCUAUAGACAACAGAUCUUAUGGCAAGAGGAGCAGAAGAAAAGACAGUGGCAUUGAGAUACUUUUGCGGAGAUGUUGUGCCGUUUGCUGCGAUGGUCUCAGUGGAGUGUGUCAUGGUUGGAUCUAACACACUGUUCAAGGCUGCCACCUUGAGAGGAUUGAGCUUCUAUGUCUAUAUCUUCUAUUCCUAUGUUGUUGCUACAAUUGUCCUUCUUCCACUUUCCCUCAUCUUUGGAAGGUCAAGAAGACUACCUCCAGCCAAAUUCCCUGUAUUCGUCAAGAUUUUCUUUCUUGCGGUUCUCGGGCUCAUGGCGGGGUUAGUUGGAUUGAAAGGAGUGGAAUAUAGUUCUCCUACUCUUUCCUCAGCUAUCAGCAACCUCACGCCAGCUUUUACCUUCACACUCGCCAUUAUCUUCAGGAUGGAACAAGUAAGGUUAAGUAGCUCUGCGACUCAGGCUAAAAUCAUUGGCACGAUAGUAUCUAUAUCUGGUGCUCUGGUUGUUGUGCUCUAUAAAGGCCCUAAAGUUCUCACUUCUGCAUCUUCGCCAUCUACUAUUUCGCUUGACCAGCAUUUGACUUCGUCCAAUUCAAGUUGGAUGCUCGGAGGCCUUUUACUUGCUUUACAGUACUUUUUUGUAUCAGUCUGGUAUAUUCUUCAGACUCAGGUCAUGGAGGUAUACCGUGAAGAAAUAACCGUAAUCUUCUUCUACAACUUAUUUGCAACGAUAAUCUCAGCACCUGUAUGUUUUUUUGCGGAACCCAACUUGACUUCAUGGGUGCUUAAACCUGAUAUCUCCCUUGCUGCAGUCUUGUACUCGGGAAUCUUGCUUUCAUCAUUUGGCUUAGCUAUACACACAUGGGGUCUGCAUCUGAAGGGUCCAGUCUAUAUAUCCCUGUUCAAGCCAUUGUCUAUAGUCAUUGCAGUCAUCUUGGGUGCUAUAUUCCUAGGCGAUGCACUUUACAUUGGGAGUGUCAUCGGGUCUAUGAUUUUGAGCUUAGGAUUCUACACUGUGAUUUGGGGAAAAGCAAGAGAGGAUGCUAGCAAAACUGUGACUGGUUUUGAGCAGUCACCUUUGUUGCUUACACACGUCGUAGACGAUGAAGCCUUGUCAUUAAGAUAAGAUUGAUGCAAGUGGAAUCAUUAUAUACACUGUUCGUUUAUCAAUAACGAUCCUUUACAAUAUGGAUCUUAUGGCAAGAGAAGUAGAAGAAGAGGUGGCAUGGAGAUGCUUUUGCAAAGAUGUUGUGCCAUUCACUGCAAUGGUCGCUGUGGAGUGUGUCAUGGUUGGAUCUAACACACUCUUCAAGGCUGCGACCAUGAGAGGAUUGAGCUUCUAUGUCUUUGUCUUCUACAAUUAUGUCGUGGCUACACUUGUCCUUCUUCCACUUUCUCUCCUCUUUAGAAGGUCAAGAAGAUCACCUGCAGCCAAAUCUUCUGUCUUCUUCAAGAUUUUCUUACUUGCACUUGUCGGAUAAUUAUAUAUACUCCUACAGUUAUGGGUAUUUUCAUGUUAUGCACUUUUUCUGACUUAGAGGGAACAGGUUCAUCUCGGUGAUAGCUGGCUGCAAAGGAAUAGAAUAUAGUUCCCCGACGCUUGCAUCUGCUAUCAGUAACCUCACGCCAGCAUUUACCUUCACUCUAGCUAUCAUCUUCAGGAUGGAAAAAGUCGUGUUAAGAAGCUCUGCGACUCAGGCUAAAAUCAUUGGCACGAUGGUAUCUAUAUCAGGUGCUCUGGUUGUUGUUCUUUAUAAAGGCCCCAAAAUUCUAGCUUCAUCAACAAAUAUCUCGAAGAAUCAGCAUUUGACUGUAUCUGAGUCAAGUUAGAUCAUCGGAGGUCUAUUAAUAGCUGCACAGUAUUUGCUUGUUUCAAUCUGGUUGAUUCUUCAGACUCGGAUCAUGGAGGUAUACCCUGAAGAAAUAACUGUAGUCUUCUUAUACAACUUAUGCGCAACACUAAUCUCAGCACAUGUGUGUCUAUUUGCUACAGAAGACUUCAGUUCUUUUCUGCUUAAACCGGGUCUCCCCCUCGUUUCUGUCAUGUUCUCGGGAGGCUUAGUGUCAUCGUUGGGGUCAGUUAUACACACUUGGGGUCUUCAUCUGAAGGGUCCAGUCUAUAUAUCCUUGUUCAAGCCAAUGUCUAUUGUCAUUGCAGUCGCUAUGGGUG
Raphanus sativus (radish) is the source of this 2340-nucleotide RNA transcript. It is a transcript of the gene named WAT1-related protein At5g40230, with no coding region annotated. The record is from RefSeq and is a predicted model, not a curated record. The transcript has 12 exons. NCBI's taxonomy places the organism in Eukaryota, Viridiplantae, Streptophyta, Magnoliopsida, Brassicales, Brassicaceae.